This 964-nucleotide ribosomal RNA is filed under the name Clostridioides difficile P28. RNAcentral describes it as "partial 16S ribosomal RNA". Lineage: Bacteria; Bacillati; Bacillota; Clostridia; Peptostreptococcales; Peptostreptococcaceae. The record is from RNAcentral.
AUUUCAGACCCAUCGACCGCAAUAAGAUGAUAGCCCUUAUAUAAAUUAUCAGGUGGAAAUGCUUUAUUCAGUUCAUUCAAAAUAUAUUGAAAAACACGUGAAGAAAUUUUAGAACGUGCCUGGACAAGUGCAGAGGCAGUUGGGGGAUUAUUUGAGUAAUGGAAAAAAUCAAGUAGUUCUUCCCGGAUAGGCUUACCCGCCAUUGAUAAGAUGAAUGAAAUAGUAUCUUUAAAAGAUAGCUUUCUAGAUUUACGAGUGAAAUCAGAACUUUCAUGUGUGACAAAAUGUUGAUCAUAUUUCAAACGAUCCGCCUUAUUUAAAAUCUUAUCCAAAGAAUUGAAAAGUGUUUUAUGGAUAGAGAUCAUACCACAAUCCCCUCAAUUCUUUUAUCAGAUAUGAAGGUAGAACAAGCAUUGAAAUUAUUACUAAGGAUCAUAUAAGAUCACCUCCUAUACCUUACAAAAGCGCGAAGUGUAACGGAGCGCACGAUUUUUCUGAUUUUGUCAAGCCUAAAUAAAAAAGACACCUAUACUUUUUGUAUAAAUGUCUCUCAUCUAUUUUUCUUUAACUUAAUGACAUUGACUGUGAUGUACCCAAUAAAUUUACUGAUUGAAGUAAAAGCCGUCGAAGGUGUAUUUAUAAACCCGGUAAAUAUACUUUUCACCCUCCAUGGUAAAGGAACGAAUCAGCGUAUGGUCACUGUCAUAUUCCUGGAAAUUAAAUGCCAUACCACUGUCCACAACAGUAUUGCCACCGAUAUUCUGCACGCUGGAUACAUAGGGAGAAUACGGAACAUCAAAUGUAUCCACAAGCUCAUAGGUGCCCUUGCUUUCAUCUACCAGAUAUUUGUAAUAUUUGCUAACAGCAUCCUCUGCCUUCACCUCGGUAGGGAUAUUCAGCUGACUCCAGUCAUAGGCUGUAUUCGUGGAAGAGUAUCCGAAAUUAUUAUUGAACAUAUACAGAU